AGCGAACGCUGGCGGCAGGCCUAAAACAUGCAAGUCGAGCGCCGUAGCAAUACGGAGCGGCAGACGGGUGAGUAACACGUGGGAACGUGCCCUUUGGUUCGGAACAACACAGGGAAACUUGUGCUAAUACCGGAUAAGCCCUUACGGGGAAAGAUUUAUCGCCAAAGGAUCGGCCCGCGUCUGAUUAGCUAGUUGGUGGGGUAACGGCCCACCAAGGCGACGAUCAGUAGCUGGUCUGAGAGGAUGAUCAGCCACACUGGGACUGAGACACGGCCCAGACUCCUACGGGAGGCAGCAGUUAGGAAUCUUGGACAAUGGGCGCAAGCCUGAUCCAGCCAUGCCGCGUGAGUGAUGAAGGCCCUAGGGUUGUAAGCUCUUUCAGCGGGGAAGAUAAUGACGGUACCCGCAGAAGAAGCCCCGGCUAACUUCGUGCCAGCCGCCGCUGU
Molecule: ribosomal RNA, 446 nt
Filed under: uncultured bacterium
Lineage: Bacteria
Description: bacterial SSU rRNA
Rfam family: Bacterial small subunit ribosomal RNA
Source: RNAcentral